GGGGAUUUAGCUCAGCGGCAUAAGCGCCUGCCUUGCAAGCAGGCUGUCGUGAGUUCAAUCCCUG
Cavia porcellus (domestic guinea pig) is the source of this 64-nucleotide transfer RNA. It matches the Rfam family "tRNA". From Rfam's summary of the family: Transfer RNA (tRNA) molecules are approximately 80 nucleotides in length. Their secondary structure includes four short double-helical elements and three loops (D, anti-codon, and T loops). Lineage: Eukaryota; Metazoa; Chordata; Mammalia; Rodentia; Caviidae. The record is from Rfam.